GACGAACGCUGGCGGCGUGCUUAACACAUGCAAGUCGAACGAAGAGCGAUGGAAGCUUGCUUCUAUCAAUCUUAGUGGCGAACGGGUGAGUAACGCGUAAUCAACCUGCCCUUCAGAGGGGGACAACAGUUGGAAACGACUGCUAAUACCGCAUACGAUCUAAUCUCGGCAUCGAGGAUAGAUGAAAGGUGGCCUCUACAUGUAAGCUAUCACUGAAGGAGGGGAUUGCGUCUGAUUAGCUAGUUGGAGGGGUAACGGCCCACCAAGGCGAUGAUCAGUAGCCGGUCUGAGAGGAUGAACGGCCACAUUGGGACUGAGACACGGCCCAGACUCCUACGGGAGGCAGCAGUGGGGAAUCUUCCGCAAUAGACGAAAGUCUGACGGAGCAACGCCGCGUGAGUGAUGACGGCCUUCGGGUUGUAAAGCUCUGUUAAUCGGGACGAAAGGCCUUCCUGCGAAUAGUGAGAAGGAUUGACGGUACCGGAAUAGAAAGCCACGGCUAACUACGUG
Molecule: ribosomal RNA, 510 nt
Filed under: uncultured bacterium
Lineage: Bacteria
Description: partial 16S ribosomal RNA
Rfam family: Bacterial small subunit ribosomal RNA
Source: RNAcentral